RNAcentral lists this ribosomal RNA (256 nucleotides) under uncultured bacterium. RNAcentral describes it as "partial 16S ribosomal RNA". It matches the Rfam family "Bacterial small subunit ribosomal RNA", at positions 57 to 305 of the family's 1533-position model. The record is from RNAcentral.
GCAAGUCGAACGAGAACGGGUUUAAGUUUACUUAAACUGUCAGCUAAGUGGCGCACGGGUGAGUAAUGUAUAGUUAACCUGCCCUCGAGAAAGGAAUAACAGUUGGAAACGACUGCUAAUGCCCUAUAUGCCUUUAAGACAUAAGUCUGCAAGGGAAACGCUUUUGUGCUCGAGGAUGGGACUGUAUGGUAUCAGUUAGUUGGUGAGGUAAUGGCUCACCAAGACAAUGACGCCUAACUGGUUUGAGAGGAUGAUC